UGCGUAGGUGGGAAAGUAAGUCAGAUGUGAAAGUUCGGGGCUUAACCCCGGAAUUGCAUUUGAAACUGUAAUACUUGAGUACUGGAGAGGUAAGUGGAAUUCCUAGUGUAGCGGUGAAAUGCGUAGAUAUUAGGAGGAACACCAGUGGCGAAGGCGACUUACUGGACAGAUACUGACGCUGAGGCGCGAAAGCGUGGGGAGCAAACAGGAUUAGAUACCCCGGUA
Molecule: ribosomal RNA, 225 nt
Filed under: uncultured Alkalibacter sp.
Lineage: Bacteria; Bacillati; Bacillota; Clostridia; Eubacteriales; Eubacteriaceae
Description: partial 16S ribosomal RNA
Rfam family: Bacterial small subunit ribosomal RNA
Source: RNAcentral